UAUUCUGUGGCGGAGUUGGUUAACGCGCCCUGUCUAGCAAACUUGGGGAGACGUGGGUUCAAAUCCCACCAGAACUA
Aedes albopictus (Asian tiger mosquito) is the source of this 77-nucleotide non-coding RNA. The record is from Rfam. Lineage: Eukaryota; Metazoa; Arthropoda; Insecta; Diptera; Culicidae.